Molecule: long non-coding RNA, 2688 nt
Filed under: Mus musculus (house mouse)
Lineage: Eukaryota; Metazoa; Chordata; Mammalia; Rodentia; Muridae
Description: predicted gene 20544
Source: RNAcentral
AGUUACUGCCACCCUCUCCCAGGUCUAGAGAGGGGUACCCACGGUGGAGGGAGGUGGGAGGCCGAGACGGCCCCGGGGGUCGGCGGAGACCCAGCGGGAGCAGGGGGAAAUCGGAAGAGCUGGGGGCAUGGAGCGGGCGAGUUUGGAGCGGAAUGAGCCGGGAGCCCUACGUUGUGGAAGGAAGACAACAGUAUAGGACCAUCAGCAGGACCGGACAGAGAGGGGCACGCUGGCCUUGAACUCAGAAAUCCGCCUGCCUCUGACUCCCGAGUGCUGAGAUUAAAGGUGUGCACCACCACACCCGACAAGGAAGCCUGUUUUAAGAAGUGAUUCCAUGGAGGAGUUCUGCGGCGGCUCAGGGCUUGACUAAACAGUGGACCUCAGGGUCCCAUUUCUCUCAGUAGACAAGAGAGGCUAAACCAGGCUGCAGGUGACAGGAAGAAUUGAAUAAACUGAAAGCAAAGGGCAGCCUUCUAAUUACGCUUCGUGGCUAUGUGGACAACCUGGAGAAGUCUGGAAACAAGCCAGAAGCCCGAAGCCAGCAGUAGAGCUCUGACUGGCUUGUAUGCCUAGAAAGGAAGGGCUCUUCUUUCGCCUCACGGGCACAAAUGGGACCCACGAGCGCCGAUUUCAGACUAUUCUGAUCCCUUCAAAAAGAAAGUUAGGAGUCCAGGCUACUUCACUUUGGUGAUAGUAAUCAAACCCUAAUCACGGUGCAGCCACAAGUCACAGAGACCGAAAUAGCAGACUUAUGACAGACAAGGAUGGAGACAGCUAAGGAACUGGCUAUUAAUCACCAGUCCCUCUGCUCACAGCCCAUUGGACCCGAGGGUGAAGGAUGAGGAGGAUGGAAGAAAAUGGGAGUGGCGCUUGCUGCAAAGGGUCUCGAAGGGUCUCAGCACCUGCGAACUGGCUCCAAUCCAAACUCCACUAUUCAUGGUCAAGUUCACAUAGGGCUUGGGGUUCUAACAAGAUGUGACUAAACUUACGUUUUCUAUCUUAUUGAUUGUUGUUGAUGCACGUCUGGUGGUACAUGCUUGAAGAACACAGACACCCUGAGAAGAAAGACAUAGCUCCCCAGAUUCCAGCACGCACUUCUCUGUGAGCUACCACUGUAGCUGAAGAUACAGGGCUCAGGAGGAACACUUGGCCUUCGCUCUGAACUUCAGGCCCACGUAACCAUCAGCCGACAUGACACUGCAAAGGCACCUUAGCUCUGCUGUCCCAGAUGGCCAAGCCAACCUUAUUCCAGAAGCUACUUCUCCUGAUGUAAGAACCAGACACAAAGGACAACCUCUGCCUCACCCUCCUUCACACAACACUGAGUCUGUCAUCUUUGAAGCAUUUCUCAAGCCAUGUUUAUUCCCCUGGCCUACGUGGAACACAGCCAGGGUACGGAACACAACCUCAGCACCGGUCUGCUUUCCUCUCCCCAUUUCUGGUCUUUCUCAGAUGCCCAGAGCUCCUCUGUCCCAAUGACUGCUUAUCAAAGAUCUCACUGUGUCCCCACCCAAGGGGUCUUUGGCCACCCUGUGAAGUCCUAGUGGCCUGGAGUUUGCCCCCUUUCCCAGACACCUUAGGGUUCCUGCUGCAGCUCCAGAACUGGGGGAGCAGGGUUGGGGGUGAGUGUGUGUGUGUGUGUGUGUGUGUGUGUGUGUGUGUGUGUUGACUCACCCUGCAGUAUUCUCUCCAUCUGCACAGGUCCCCAGUCUCUGAGACUGAAUCACCCCUCUUUCACUAUGCCUCUGCACAGCUGCCCUUGUGCUCCCUCUCCUUGCCCCGCCUCUUUUUAAGACAGUAUUAUGCAGCCCUGGCUGUCCUGGAACUUAUGUAAACCAGCCUGGCCUUGAACUUGCAGAGAUCCACCUGCCUUUGCCUCUGCCCCUGCCCCUGCCCCUGCCCCUGCCCCUGCCCCUGCCCCUGCCUUUCUGCCUCUGCCUCUGCCUCUCUGCCUUUCUGCCUCUGCCUCUCUGCCUCUGCCUCUCUGCCUCUGCCUCUCAAGUGUCAGGGAUUAAUGCCUGCCACCUCCCCAGUCCCACCCCUCUCCAUCUACCAUGUGGGUUCCACGGGGCAAACCCAAGUCAUCAGGCUUGUUGGCCAGUGCCUUUAUCCACUGAGCCAAGCCGCUUGGUGUGUCUUUGAUGGUGAUUAUUUACAGGAGCUAUUCAGCAAGGUUAAAUGCUGGCAACCCAAUGAGGGGGUCUCUUGAUCCAAAACUGAGAAGUUGAGGCACUAUUUCAGAAUGACCAAAGACAGUAGAAGAAUCUAGAUAUGUCGAUGAUGAGAACAAUGAUAACUCCAAAAGCUGAGGGAAAUUAACUCAAAAUCUUCCAGCUUCCUUUUCCUUACCUAGUUUGGCGGACUCCAACUCUUGGGAUAGCUUUUUUUCUGGCCCCAAACUCACCUGAUUCGUCUGUCCACUGCCACACUGAAGAAUGAACAGCUGUCUCAGAGAGCUUGGCUCCAGAGCUCUGCAAAAAGAGGACACCUUGCCUUGAGCUGUGUUUCCAGAAUGUAUUGCAGCCCCCAGAGUCAUGUACUGUGACCAGGUGAGGACAUGCAUCUUCUGUUCUCCUGCACCCAGGGCCCCAGCAACCAAGGAUCUGGGGACAUGGCGGGUGUUUGGCAGGUUCGCACUCUGAAAAUAUUUGAUGAGACUCAGUAUAUGCUAAAUAAACACUGGAUCAA